CUUCCUCCCGUAAUUAUUCUUUAACUAGUGUAAAAAUUUUACAUAGUUGUGCUCUCGUUUGGAAUAUUGGUCUUCCCAAAACUGUUUUAAAUCUUUGGUACAUCUUUUUCGUCUACUUCGCAAUAACAACGUGAAAAAGAAAAAAUUGCUUUUUGCUAAGCGCCAUUUUGAACUUUGAACUCGUCCCGCCACUACCUAACCUACG
This is a non-coding RNA of Paramuricea clavata, 205 nucleotides long. NCBI's taxonomy places the organism in Eukaryota, Metazoa, Cnidaria, Anthozoa, Malacalcyonacea, Plexauridae. The record is from the annotation of a GenBank genome assembly.